UACGAAGGGAGCUAGCGUUGUUCGGAAUCACUGGGCGUAAAGCGCACGUAGGCGGAUGUGUCAGUCAGGGGUGAAAUCCCGGAGCUCAACUUCGGAACUGCCUUUGAUACAGCACAUCUGGAGUCCGGAAGAGGUGGGUGGAAUUCCUAGUGUAGAGGUGAAAUUCGUAGAUAUUGGGAAGAACACCAGUGGCGAAGGCGGCUAACUGGUCCAGUACUGACGCUGAGGUGCGAAAGCGUGGGGAGCAAACAGG
This 253-nucleotide ribosomal RNA is filed under the name uncultured bacterium. RNAcentral describes it as "partial 16S ribosomal RNA". It matches the Rfam family "Bacterial small subunit ribosomal RNA", at positions 524 to 776 of the family's 1533-position model. The record is from RNAcentral.